GUUAUAGAUGAGCUACUGGAUGAGUUAGCUGGUGCUGCAUGGUUCACUAAGCUAGAUUUGAGGGCUGGUUAUCAUCAGAUUCGGUUAGCUCCUGGAGAAGAGUACAAGACUGCAUUCUCUACACAUAUUGGUCACUAUGAAUUCAAUGUAUUGGCCUUUGGAUUGAGUGGUGGUCCUAGCACUUUCCAGGGUUCUCUAAACAAUACAUUGAAACAUGUCAACAGAAAGAACACACUCUGUUUCUUCGAUGAUAUCCUCAUCUUCAGCAAAACUUACAAGGAGCACCUUGCUCAUGUCUGA
RNAcentral lists this ribosomal RNA (300 nucleotides) under Triticum aestivum (bread wheat). Its description in RNAcentral is "partial small subunit ribosomal RNA". The record is from RNAcentral. Lineage: Eukaryota; Viridiplantae; Streptophyta; Magnoliopsida; Poales; Poaceae.